AGUUGUCCUAUCAUCAGAGUAGAAUUUUGGAUUUGUUGAUAAAAUUACUGGUAACAGUGAUUGGACAUGCAUGAGAGGAAGGAAACAAUCAACAACAAAUUAUUGGGGACAUUGAAGAAGACCCUAUUUAUCUUCAGAGAAAACCCUUUUCUAAUAGACAAUGAUAUCCUCAGGUACAGAAAUGAUAAGCUAAAGUACAAAGCAUCAGUGCAUUUAUCUCUUCACAGAGCAUUUUGGGGGCUACUACCUUAGGCUAGGCAUUGAGUCUUGCCUAGAGAUACAAAGAUGCUCUCAAGGAGCUUAACCAGACUAGGGGCCUUGAUGUGCCCAUCACAGGACUGGGUGAUAGGUGACAGGGCAUACCCAAGAUGUGACUGACAUAAAAAGGAAGACACAUUUGCCCAAUUUAACAACCCCCUUUUGGUUGAUACAAAAUAUUACCCCAAGAGAAAAGUACUUGGAAAGGUGGAGUUUGAUAAGAGGGAUGGUGGGAGGAGGCAAUUUAGAAGCUUAAUCUGGUAGAAGAAGGAGGCAUACUUAAGUGGCUAAAUAUAAAAAAUUUAUAUCUAUAUAUCUAUACCCAAAUGUAGACUUGAAUCCCAUAUUGAAGUAAUACACUAGAUAUAUGGAAUGAUUGGCCAAUGGGAACCUGUUGUAUAGCACAGAAAACUCUACCCAGUAUUCUGGGAUAAUUUACAUGGGAAAAGAAUCUGAGAGAAAAUUGAUAUGUGUGUAUGUAUGACUAGGUCAUUUUGUUGUGCAGCAGAAAUAACCACAACCUUGUAAAUUAACUAUACUUCAAUACAACUUAAAAAAAUAAAAAAUACAAAAAAUGCGAUUGCAGAUUUUGUAGCAAGAGAAACCCACAUUAAAUUAUGCUGUCCAACUUUCCGCCUUUAACCAGGGGAGGUAUCAUCUAUAUUUUGCUGAAGCAAUGCCCCAAAAGUUAACUAUUUGCCUACAAUCUAUCUGAAAUGAAGAGUGUAUCCAGAGCAGAAGACUCUGGGUUCCAAAUGAAGUGUUUCGUCCAAAGCAUCAGGUUCUAUAUAGGACAUAGUAGGCAGAACACCACCCCCACCAUCCCACCCUCCCACGAGUCCAUGCCCUAUUUCUGGAACCUGUGAAUAUGUUACCCUACAUGACAAAAGGGACUUUUCAGAUGCGAUUAAAGUUAAGGACCUUGAAAUGGGAAAUUCUGGAUACUCCAGGUGGGCCUAAUCCAAGGAGGAGGUGUAAAGAAGAGUCAAAGAGGUGCAAUGUUACUAGCUUUGACAUGGAGGAAGGGGAUCAGGAGCCAGAGAAUAUGGGCCGUCUCUAGAAACCAGAAAAGGCAUGGAAAUGAACUAUCUCCUGGAGCUUCUGAAAAGAAAUGUGGCCCUACAGACAUUUUGAUUUUAGAACAGACUUCAGGCUUAUAGAACUGUAAGAUAAUACAUUUGUGUUGCUUUAAGCUACUUAAAAUGUAGUAAUUUGUUAUAGCAGCAAGAUAAAACUAAUACAUAACAUAACUAGAAUUUUAAAUGAUUAUUUAACGUUUACCCAGAGGGCUCAAAAUAGAGCACAUUUCAGUAAUUCAGGGUGAAAAAUUUGGCUUCUUCUCCAUCUUGAAGAUUACUAGAUAACUUCAAGAGUAAAAACAUAUUCGUUGAUCAUUAGUUUGCUUCCUACUGUUUCAGGGACUAACUUGUAGUUUGAUUAAAUAGCAUUGACUCCUCUUUCACAAAUGGAACCUGAUUUAUUUUUUCUCAGAGGAUGAUAGAGAACAGUUCUUUUUUCCUUUUUUUUUUUUUUUUGUUUUUUGUUUUUUGUUUUUAGGGCCAUACUUGCAGCAUAUGGAAGUUCCCAGGUUAGGGGUUGAAUCUUGAAUUGGAGCUACAGCUGCUGGCCUACACCACAGCCACAACUUGGGACCCGAGCCGCAUCUGUGACCUACACCACAGCUCAUGGCAAUCCAGAUCCUUCACCCACUGAGCAGAGCCAGGCAUUAAACUCAGAUCUUCACAGUUACUAGUCGGGUUUGUUUCCACUGAGCCACAACGGGAAACUCCUGGACAAUGUUGCUUGAGGGCAGUUUUGGCUCCAAUACUAGUUACUAAGUUUUUCCUAUUUGCUUUGUUUUGUUCUGGAUAUGGUUAGCUAGUAUCAUCCUUAUUAUGAAUUUGGGACAGAUAAUGAAAAUUUAGAAUUCUCGAACUAUUAAAAGGGAAAGCAAGUGUUUUAAACACAUUCCGUGUUUUUAUGUGCCUGCUUGUUUUCAGUUAAUUUCUUGCUUUUUUUUUUUGAGGCUAUGUGGGGGUUACUAUUGCUUCCUCUCAUUUGUUACAGAAGUAAAGAGAAAGCAGCUAUCCUGGGAAUUAGAACUGUUAUUAGACUCAAAACAUUUAAUUAAACAAUACAUUUGGUGACUUCUAAUCAUGUUAAAUUAAUCUCCUCAGUUUUGUCUUUAUAUUACUCAGGAAAAGCUAGGCUAUGUUGUAUUAAUAAAUAAAUACUCAGAGGCUAAACAGCAAAGUAUAUUGCUCAUCAGCCUGAAACCUUCCUUAAUCAGGUUCCAUGUGUAGAUUUGCCCCAAGGUAUGGCUUGGUCCUUUAUUUGGGGGCCUCCAUGUGUGCCCAGGCAGAAGAAGGGGGGCUGGUUAUUCAAGUGCACCAACUUUUAAAAUGCCUUGGUUUAAAAUUGGCACUUGUCAUGUCUCCUUAUACGGCAGUCACAUGGCCCCUAACUGGGAAACUGAGAGAAUUGCAUGGCUAUUCAAUGGGAAGUAAAUGCCUCAGCUGCAGUCCCCCAAUGUCCUAAAAUCAAAUUUUACGAAGAAGCUGACAUGAAAGUCAAAAUUUCUACUGGUAAUUUAAGGACAACAAACGCUUCAAGUUUUGUACUUCUUUGUCAUAUGGCACCAAUUUGGUUGGCCUUAUAAAAAUGGUAUCAGUCAUUUUUUAAAAAAAGUUCAAUCACAAGAAAGUAAAGCAAGAAAGUACUAUUAAAUGCCAAAAGGAGUUCUGAGACUUUAUUAGUAUACAGCAGGACACACACAAUAUAUGGAAGGAGUCCUGGGUGAGAAACUCUUUUCCUUUUUUUUUUUUUCUUUUCUCUUUUUAAAUUCACUUUGAUAUUUCUUUUCCUAGCUCUAUACAUACUGAUGUUCCAUAAACGAUCAAAUGCAUGAGUGAAUGAAUGAAUAAAUGAAUGAAACCCCAUGUAAUCGGAUAAAGCCUCUCCAUGUCUACAUCCUCAUCUACAAAAUGAGGAGCUAUCAUCACUUUUUCGGUAUUCCAAAUUCUAUUAGGUAUGGAAUUUUAGUAACCAAACUUCAAAGUAGGUAUCAACUUAUUUAAAGCAAUCUUCUCAUCUCUGGACUGGAGAUCCCUGAAACCCUUUUUAGGUCUUUAUUUAUAAUUAUGGAUACUUAUUAUAUGUUUGUCCAAAUUCAUAGAAUGUACAACACCAAGAGGGAACUCUGAUGUAAACUAUGAGCUUGGGGUGAUAAUAAUAUGUCAACGUAAGUUCAUCCUUGGUAAAAAUAUAUAUCAUUCCGGUGAGUAAUGUUGAUGAGAGAGGCUAGCCAUGGGUGGGAACAGGGGAUAUAUGGGAAACCUCUGUAGUCCCUCUCGAUUUUGUUGUAAACCUAAAACUGCACCAAAAAAAAAAAAAAAAAAAAAAAAAA
This 3664-nucleotide long non-coding RNA is filed under the name Sus scrofa (pig). RNAcentral describes it as "lncRNA (ENSSSCG00050038341.1)". Lineage: Eukaryota; Metazoa; Chordata; Mammalia; Artiodactyla; Suidae. The record is from RNAcentral.